Molecule: ribosomal RNA, 436 nt
Filed under: uncultured bacterium
Lineage: Bacteria
Description: partial 16S ribosomal RNA
Rfam family: Bacterial small subunit ribosomal RNA
Source: RNAcentral
GAUGAACGCUGGCGGAAGGCUUACCACAUGCGAGUGGAACGGGAAGUGUUUUUUCCGGGGGGGAAGGGGGGAGUAACGGGUAAGAACUUGCCUUUGGGGGGGGAACACAAACUGGAAAGGGUUGUUAAUACCCGGUAGGUUGGGGGGAAAAGGGGGAAAUCCGCCCAAGGGGGGGCUCGCGUCUGAUUAGCUAGUUGGGGAGGUAAUAGCUUACCAAGGCGUUGAUCAGUAGCUGGUCCGAGGGGAUGAUCAGCCACACUGGGACUGAGACACGGCCCAGACUCCUACGGGAGGCAGCAGUGGGGAAUUUUCCGCAAUGGGCGAAAGCCUGACGGAGCAAUGCCGCGUGGAGGUGGAAGGCCUACGGGUCGUCAACUUCUUUUCUCGGAGAAGAAACAAUGACGGUAUCUGAGGAAUAAGCAUCGGCUAACUCUGU